ACAGGCAGUGCGCCCAACAGCCCCAUGGCGCUGCUCACCAUCGGGUCCAGCUCAGAGAAGGAGAUUGAUGAUGUCAUUGAUGAGAUCAUCAGCCUGGAGUCCAGUUACAAUGAUGAAAUGCUCAGCUAUCUGCCCGGAGGCACCACAGGACUGCAGCUCCCCAGCACGGCUGGAGCGCAAUGGUGCUAUCUCGGCUCACUGGAACCUCCGCCUACCAAGUUCAAGCGAUUCUCUUGCCUCAGCCUCCUGAGUAACUGGGACUACAGGCGCGUGCCCCCAUGCCCGGCUAAUUUUUGUAUUUUUAGUAGAGACGGGGUUUCACCGUGUUACCCAGGUUAUCUCAAUCUCCUGACUUUGUGAUCUGCCUGCCUCGGCCUCCCAAAGUGCUGGGAUUACAGGCAUGAGCCACCAUGCCUGGCCUAACUUGCUUUAUUUAUUUAUUUAUUUAUUUUUUAUUGAAUUUUUUUUUUUUUUUUGAGAUGGAGUUUCACUCUCCUUGUCCAGGCUGGAAUGCAAUGUGCGAUCUCUGCUCAUUGCACCCUCUGCCUCCUGGGUUCAAGCAAUUCUCCUGCCUCAGCCUCCCAAGUAGCCGAGAUUACAGGUGCCCGCCAGCACGCCUGGCUAAUUUUUGUAUUUUAGUAGAGACGGGG
Molecule: long non-coding RNA, 650 nt
Filed under: Homo sapiens (human)
Lineage: Eukaryota; Metazoa; Chordata; Mammalia; Primates; Hominidae
Description: HSALNT0282528
Source: RNAcentral